AAAAAAUUAACCCUUGUGAAAGCCAAAUGAGUCGGGCUAUAGAGUGUCGCUGUGACAAGGAUUUUGCUUGUGAUGAAAAGGAAUGUCGGUCAUGUGUACCUCUGCCUCAGUGCAGUGACAUACAUAGAACAGGUGACAAAUUCUAUGAGUACAAAUGUAGAACAAAAAGCACAGUGCAACCAGGCACUGAUAGAGCCAUUACAUAUUCCACUGGGAAAACAGCAAAGAAUCCAGAGACAGAAGGUAAA
Xenopus tropicalis (tropical clawed frog) is the source of this 248-nucleotide long non-coding RNA. RefSeq lists it as uncharacterized. Lineage: Eukaryota; Metazoa; Chordata; Amphibia; Anura; Pipidae. The record is from RefSeq and is a predicted model, not a curated record. The transcript has 3 exons.